AGAUCGGACAUUUUGCAGCAUGAUGAGAGAAUCUUGGUAGUGAAGGGGUCCAAAAUCAGUAUCUGUAUAGGAAAAUUUACAAACUACAAGGCGGAUGGGUUUUCCUACCUUCCAUACUUCAGAUUUCUUACAGUCUGCAAUUAUUGUGUCUUUUAUUCCUGCAGAGAUACAAAACAAUAUUAGGAAUUAAGCUUCAGCAUCAACUUCAUACUAAUGGAUGUAGAAAACUACCACAAAAAGAAAUCCUACUGGGUACAAAACUUCAGUUUUUACAGAUUAUGAAAAUAUUUGGUUCUUAUGUAUCACUUAAAAGGAUUAAACAAUAAUCACCAAAAUAAACCAGUUGAUAUUAAUCUUAUUUAUCAUUGGUUUAGGAAAAAAAAAAAAAAAACUUUUUAAACGAAGUUACUGAAUAGCUGAUUUGAACUGGCUACAAAUCAGUGCGUAAUUUGUUCAUUUUGAGGUGGGAUUUAGGGAGUUUUAUUCAUAAUUUCAUUUCACAUUUAGGCUGAAAUAAUCCUGACAGAAAUCAUGGGCAUGUCUCAUUUAUUUAGCAUUGAUCAGUGGUUAAACGAUAUUGCAUUACUACAAGUGUGACUCAAGCCCUCACCUGCAAACAGCGGGGGAUAAUUACAGGGAAUGGUCAGUUUUCUAAGUUGCACAAAAUAUAAAGCAUCAACUUAAAGAUUUUUAUAAAUUUAGCAUAAGUACAGCUAAUUAAAAUUUGUUAUACUAGUUCAGAAAGUGGAGCUCAUUUUUUAUAUAGAUUCAUUACACAUAGAGGGAAAUAUCUUAAGCAAUAUCGUUUGAUUAAUUAAAUUAUUAUGGCUUACAAAUAAUUUUAAAAAGUAUUUUAGUGUUUCAUAAGAUCAAUAAAAAGAGAACAUUUUAAUCAGGAACGUCAGGCCUAUGAAAAGUGUUUUCCUUUGCAUGUUUUAAAUUGUUCAGGGUUUCUUCACACCUGCCACUUUUGUUCAUUUGAAAUGGUCUGACGUUACAUCUGUAAUAACAGCAUCAAUAUUCAAAGCAGAGGUUGAUUUCUUCAGUUUGUGCUUCUUUGCUCUGUCCUGCAGUCGUCAUUUCAGACCAACAAGAAUAACAUAAUUAACCCACUUUUAUCAACCUUUUAUAAAAAAAAAAAAAAAAUUUAAAAUCGAUAAGGAGGCGAAUAAAAUAUAGAAAGCAUAACUGUUACUUAAUUUUAGCAAUUUUUAUUUCAUAUCUUUGGCCCAUGUUAUGAAAAGAAAAGCAGUGAAUCAAUGUGGAACUUUCUUAGAAAUUUUAUUAGGAUUAUGUUAUUUUAGAAGAAGUAAUGGUUUCAUCUCCUUCAUUAGAAACCUGUGAUCUUCACAAAAUCAGAAGUAAACAAGCAGAGGUAAAGAAAAAUUUUUAUUUUUUUUCUCCUCAGCUCCUGAACAAACUCCUUGAAAGUCUGCUCUGUACAGAAAAGGUUGGCUUAAUUAGUUCAUGCAUGAAAACAUUAUUGUUUACUAAAGCUGGACACUAGAAAGUCUAAAAUGUUUUAAUCACUGCUUUUAAAUACAUUAAAUAUUUGUUAUGGUGAUGUAUGUCCUUUAAA
Cyprinodon tularosa is the source of this 1579-nucleotide long non-coding RNA. RefSeq lists it as uncharacterized. NCBI's taxonomy places the organism in Eukaryota, Metazoa, Chordata, Actinopteri, Cyprinodontiformes, Cyprinodontidae. The transcript is spliced from 2 exons. The record is from RefSeq and is a predicted model, not a curated record.